GAAAGCAUGUAAGGCCCUGGAGCUUUGGGAAGACACGGGUUGGCUUAGGAGAAGCAGAAGAAAGAGUGGGGCCUCUGCAUCUCGCUAAGGGCCUCCGUGGCUCCCCGACAGGGGCUCCUGUAGCCCAGGCUGGCCAUCAGUUUGCAAUGUAGUUGAGGAUGACCUUGAACUCCAGAUCUGCUUCCACUCCUGAGUGCUGGGAUUACUGGCUUUCAUCUGCACCGUCAUGCUUUGUUUCUGUGGACCGGGCAUCUGACCUGGUCUUUGUGCAUACUAGUAUAAAAAGGAAGCCCCCUCAGCUGUGGGACUGUAAGUAAGCAGGUGUCCCAGCCUCGCAGGCUGAUGGAAACAAACCCUGGAAGGAAGCAAGCAUCCAGAUGGCAUCAUGCGUUCAGAAUUCUCUUGGGUUUCUUCCUCCACAGACUGGCCCAUCCAGAGGGAUCUGUAUGGGAGAGGUGCCCAUGGAGACCAGAAGAGGGCGCUGGAUCAUCUGGAACUGGAAUAACGGAGUUGCCCUGUGAGUCAGUUGCCUUGCAGGUUGUCAACUAUGCUGCCCAGACCAACCUUAACUCCCCAUCUCCUUCCGCUGCCCCCCAGUGCUAGGACGACAAGUUCUCACAUGUUAGUUCCUCAGGAGUCACGUUCGGGAGCUCGGCAGUGCCAGCCUCAGAUUCACCCAGGGUGAAGUCAUUUGCCAGCUCAGCCACAGUGAGCUGGUUUCUUCAGUCUCUUUCCCCUUGGCCAACCUUCUGAAGACACUUCUCCCAGAUGCCUUCCAUGCCCUGCUUGGUGACAUCACCCACCAGAGCUCGAGCAAGACUCCGGAAGCAACCACUGGCUCCUGCUCCUCGAUUGCAGCCACAGCCUGGCAAAGGUCCUCUAAAAGGAAUGGCCUUCAAAACUUCAAUCGAUGCCUGACUCAUGGGUUGGAUCAAAGUGGUGGCAGUGGAGAGAGAAAUGCCCAGGGUAUCAGGGGUUGGGGAUACAGCUCAGUUUGUGGAGGGCUUGUCCAGCUUGCAUGAAGCCCUGGGCUCAAUCUCCAGCACUGCUGUAAACUGGGGAUGGUGUUACAUGCCUGUAAUCCCAGCCUUUGGGAGGUAGAGGCAGAAGGAUCAAGAGUUCAAGGCGGGGGCUGGAGAGAUGGCUCAGAGGUUAAGAGCACUGGCUGUUCUUCCAGAGGUCCUGAGUUCAAUUCCCAGCAACCACAUGGUGGCUCACAACCAUCCGUAAUGAGAUCUGGUGCCCUCUUCUGGCUUGCAGGCGUAUACGCAGGCAGAACAUUGUAUACAUAAUUAAUAAAUAAAUCUUUAAAAAAAAAAAAGAGUUUAAGGCUAUCUCCAGCAAAGAUAAGGCCAGCCUUGGGCUGCCAGAAAUCCUGCACCAAAAUAUAAACCACAAAAACCAUCCAUAUAAGGAGUAUGUGUGGGAGAAUUGUCAACAAUAUGGACAUCUGGAAACAUCUGCAUGUCAUUCAAUGCUAUAGAAAUCUAGAAAUUUCUAUCCAGAGGAGCUGGAUGAAGCCAGAGUCCUUAUUGCCCUGGUAGUAGGUUGGUAAUGUGUUGACUGAUAGCCUUGAAGGCUCUGGCUUCUCCCUGCACCAGAUCACCAAAGACUUGGGCCAGUAGUUUGCAACACUGUUCCCAAGACUUUUGCUGGAGCCAGAAUGUUAGCUCUAUUGGUAUAAUGCUUGGCUAGCAUGUAGGAGGUCCUGGGUUUGAUCCCCAGCACAAAUCAGACAUGGUAGCACAGGCUCCUGUUGCUACCACUGGAGAGGUGGAGGCAGGAGGAUCAAGAGUUCAAGGUUAUCCUCAGUUAUAUAGUAAGUUUGAGGUUAUGGUAUAUGUGAGACCCUAUCUUAAAAAUAAAGGGGUGUUGGAGGGGUAGUCUUUGAAGUAAAAAGCAAAUUAACAGAAAAACUCUGGGUUUCUGGUUUUACCACGUCUAGCCAAGUGUGGUGGUCUGAAUGUGAAUGCCCCUCCACCAUAGGCUCAUACGUUUAAAUGUUUAGUCCCCAGUUAGUAGAAUUAUUUAGGAAGGAUUAGGAGGUGUGGCCUUCUUGGAGAAGGUGGAUCACUGAGGGUGAGUGGGCCUUGAGGUUUCAAAAGCCCAUGCCAGGCCCAGUCUCUCUCUGUCUCUGCCUAUUGCCUGUGAAUCAGUAUGUAAAGCUCUCAGUCACUGUCCACCAU
Molecule: long non-coding RNA, 2186 nt
Organism: Peromyscus californicus insignis
Lineage: Eukaryota; Metazoa; Chordata; Mammalia; Rodentia; Cricetidae
Exons: 5
Source: RefSeq, a predicted model, not a curated record